UACGUAGGGGGCAAGCGUUGUCCGGAUUUAUUGGGCGUAAAGAGCGUGUAGGCGGCCAGACAGGUCCGUUGUGAAAACUCGAGGCUCAACCUCGAGACGUCGAUGGAAACCGUCUGGCUAGAGUCCGGAAGAGGAGAGUGGAAUUCCUGGUGUAGCGGUGAAAUUCGUAGAUAUUCGGAAGAACACCAGUGGCGAAGGCGGCUCACUGGACCGGCAUUGACGCUGAUGUGCGAAAGCGUGGGGAGCAAACAGG
This 253-nucleotide ribosomal RNA is filed under the name uncultured bacterium. RNAcentral describes it as "partial 16S ribosomal RNA". It matches the Rfam family "Bacterial small subunit ribosomal RNA", at positions 524 to 776 of the family's 1533-position model. The record is from RNAcentral.